UGGGGAAUAUUGCACAAUGGGCGCAAGCCUGAUGCAGCCAUGCCGCGUGUAUGAAGAAGGCCUUCGGGUUGUAAAGUACUUUCAGCGGGGAGGAAGGGAGUAAAGUUAAUACCUUUGCUCAUUGACGUUACCCGCAGAAGAAGCACCGGCUAACUCCGUGCCAGCAGCCGCGGUAAUACGGAGGGUGCAAGCGUUAAUCGGAAUUACUGGGCGUAAAGCGCACGCAGGCGGUUUGUUAAGUCAGAUGUGAAAUCCCCGCGCUCAACCUGGGAACUGCAGCUGAUACAGGCAAGCUUGAGUCUCGUAGAGGGGGGUAGAAUUCCAGGGGUAGCGGUGAAAUGCGUAGAGAUCUGGAGGAAUACCGGUGGCGAAGGCGGCCCCCUGGACGAAAACUGACGCUCAGGUGCGAAAGCGUGGGGAGCAAACAGG
This 429-nucleotide ribosomal RNA is filed under the name Fusobacteriota bacterium. RNAcentral describes it as "Fusobacteria bacterium partial 16S ribosomal RNA". It matches the Rfam family "Bacterial small subunit ribosomal RNA", at positions 355 to 776 of the family's 1533-position model. The record is from RNAcentral. Lineage: Bacteria; Fusobacteriati; Fusobacteriota.